AUGUCCGUUGCGCAGCCCCGACGCUCGCGCACCCCUGCAGCCUCGCCUUCGGCCGCACGGUCCCAACCGAAGCCGCCGCUACCGUUCAGGUCGACCAGCGCCGGCCUCGACCUUCUCCCUCGCCCUCGGCUCGCGCCUCCUUCCUCGCCCUGGAUGUUGCAGGGAGCUCAAGCCCCGCAGUCGGUCGCCCGCAACCUCCUCCUCCUGGCUCUGCUCCGUCCCUCCAUCGCCUCUGCCGCGCCUCCCUUCGCUUCUUCUGCUGCAGUGCACGGCCACCGUGAGUUCCCCUUCCCUCGUCUCGCGCCAACAAACCCGGCCAUCUUUGUCUCAUGUACGAGCCCGAGACGCAUGCUGCACGUCCACAUCCUGAUCGGCCUCCCCUUCCUUUUGCCUUCCCCUGCUCGCCUUCAAACUUUGGCCGCCGGAUCCAUGGUAGCCGUCGUGGGCUCAUCGCCAUGCUGCUGCCCUGCCUUUGCAGUCGGCCCUGCAACCUUUGCCUGCUCUGAACUUCCUGUACGAGGCCUCCACCACGCGUGUGCGUCCAGCGCCCCGUGUGUCUUCAUUGUUGUGUGA
RNAcentral lists this ribosomal RNA (573 nucleotides) under Triticum aestivum (bread wheat). RNAcentral's name for it is "partial small subunit ribosomal RNA". The record is from RNAcentral. Lineage: Eukaryota; Viridiplantae; Streptophyta; Magnoliopsida; Poales; Poaceae.